Molecule: ribosomal RNA, 235 nt
Filed under: uncultured Candidatus Saccharibacteria bacterium
Lineage: Bacteria; Candidatus Saccharimonadota
Description: partial 16S ribosomal RNA
Rfam family: Bacterial small subunit ribosomal RNA
Source: RNAcentral
UAAGCGAGUAGUGAAAUGACGAGGCUCAACCUCGUGUCCAUUACUUGAACUGCUCAGCUAGAGGAUGAGAGAGGUUAUUGGAAUUUCUAGUGUAGGAGUGAAAUCCGUAGAUAUUAGAAGGAACACCGAUGGCGUAGGCAGAUAACUGGCUCAUUCCUGACACUAAGGCACGAAAGCGUGGGGAGCGAACGGGAUUAGAUACCCCGGUAGUCCACGCCGUAAACGAUGGAUGCUA